This 1631-nucleotide long non-coding RNA is filed under the name Cinara cedri. Lineage: Eukaryota; Metazoa; Arthropoda; Insecta; Hemiptera; Aphididae. The record is from RNAcentral.
GAACAGAUUCCCGCGGACACGCGCGGCGCGGGCCGCGGUUAAAAUUUAUCGUUUUUUUCCUACUCUUUAUGAAUAAUAAUAAUAAAUAUUAUCGCCACUUAUUAUCACGCGCUCCGGCAGGACUCACGGACAGUCGUGUAUCCAAAUUAAAACGCAGGAAUAUAUGGAACGGCGCACAACUAUACGCAGUACGGGUACGCGUUAUAGUUUAAUAAUAUUUCAGAAGGCGUAUCUGUUAUAAUAUGUGAGGUAGGUACGGCGGUAUCGCGCACAGCGUUUCGGUUUCGGGAGAAUCCGGAUUUUCGGACCCCCGAAGGCAAAAAAAAAAAAAAAAAGAAAAAAAAAAAACGUUUGUUCGCCUAUGUAUUCGCCGUAUCGCGCGUGUUGCGCUCGUACUCGUACGUUGAAUCGGCGGUCGCGAGCGACGACUACAGCGGUCCGCGCGAGAUGAUUUACGAUUUUUCAUUAUAAUAAUAUUAUUGUAUUGCGCGUUUCCGAGAUGGAAAAAAAAAAAAAAAAGUAUAAAUAAAAAUAGCGAUCGGCCCGCGGACAAGUCGGCGGCGGCGACUUGUGAUGAUAAUAAUAACACGACUGUGAGGAGCGCGAGCCGCCGGACCGGCGCGCGAAAUCCGUGGAAAAAAAAUAAUAAAAAUGUAUAAUAUUCUUGUUCCGGCCGUGUCUACAUGUACAGUAUUUUUUUUUUUUUUUUUUCGUAAAAGCGAAUUUCGUCCGGCCGGUGGAUCGGUCGUUUUCCGAUUUUACGCGUAGUUUUACGUUCGCGGGCCGAGAAAACCGACGAACUUUCGAUUUCUUCGAACUUGUGAUUAACUUCGCGUACAAUUUUAAUGGAUUUCCGAUUGGCCGAACGUGGCCAAACAUUGUUCGAAUAAAACUAGAAAUCGUCAGAAUGUUUUGAAAAUAUCUUGACCGCGUCUAGAAAAGACCGAUUCCGUAAAAACGUUGGGGUCUCACGACAAUUUUUACCCGAUUUGGAAAAUAACAAAAUAGUUACUCGAGACCGGGGAAACGUGACAAAUUUAUUGAAAUAUCGUUGCAGGAAAGUUCGCGAAAUUCGCGAUCUCGACGACGCGAACAGUCAGUUAUAGUGAUUGUCGCCCGAAAACAAUCCCAACCCCAAAGGUUUACACCGCGGCAGCGUGUGUAUACCGUAUACGGAUUUUCUGUUAUAGGACUUUACGACGGUCGUCGAAAAACCGUACGCCAUUUUUACGCAAAAUAUUUCGCGAUCAUUGUCCGCGGAAUAACGUGAAUAUAAUAUCAUUGUCGUCGUUUUCACUUUCCAUUCUAAUCUUUUUUGAACCGCCGCCACGGCACAAUGCCGUAUUGUCCGCUGCUGUAUCGUAUUCGCUACCCGUAGGUGUGCAUAAUGAUUACAAUAUUAUUAUUAUAAGGCUACCGAUCACGCGUUUAUAUUUCAUGAUGUAUACAUAAAGGUAGCCCCGUUGUACCCGGUUCGGAAAAGAAAGUUAUGCAUACGGUGGCGGUAAUGCGUGAUUUGUCGUACACCGCGUACGGCCGCCGCGAAAACAACAACCGAUUUCGAGCGUUCGUAGAGCGCCGCGAAACGGUAUUUUGUUAACGAAUCGAAAAUGCCCAACGACGGCUGCGGU